RNAcentral lists this transfer RNA (686 nucleotides) under uncultured cyanobacterium. RNAcentral describes it as "partial 16S-23S ribosomal RNA intergenic spacer". The stretch from base 266 to 338 matches the Rfam family "tRNA". The record is from RNAcentral. Lineage: Bacteria; Bacillati; Cyanobacteriota.
CAGGGAGACAAAACUAAGAUCAUGAUGCCUAUUUUUAUUAUUAGUAGGCCAUGAUCCUGUCACCUUAGGUCGAUCGGUACCUCAGAUUAUUUGUCAAAACUUUCUGAAUAUAUUCAGAAUUUAUUGGCAUCUGAUUUUAGUUCCUAAACUUUGUCUAGGUCACACCCAGCAAGGGUACUCCUGGGCCAUUAGCUCAGGUGGUUAGAGCGCACCCCUGAUAAGGGUGAGGUCCCUGGUUCAAGUCCAGGAUGGCCCAUUCGAUGUUGGGGGUAUAGCUCAGUUGGUAGAGCGCCUGCUUUGCAAGCAGGAUGUCAGCGGUUCGAGUCCGCUUACCUCCACUGAUCGACCUCCUGAUAACGAAAUCACAGGAGAUUUUGUUGUAUAAGUGACUUAGAAAUUGUUCAAACUGUUUGAACCUAGCUUCCUAUCAUUCUUUAUUAAUUGGAUUACUCCAACUUUAAGCUGACAGGAUGCUGGGCCCACUGAUUAGCAAAAGCUAAUCAGAAAAGUUCAGUAGAACCUUGACAACUGCAUAGGUGAGUUUGGAUAGAAUAAAGCAUCUCAUAGAUGCAUUAUUCUUUCAUAUUUUAUUGACUAAUUGAUCGAUAAAAUAUAAAGAAUAGUGUUUAAUUCUUGAGUCAAGAGCCAAUACUUUAAAACUUAUAAACAGUUUUAAAGUUCAUAUU